Molecule: non-coding RNA, 232 nt
Organism: Pelobates cultripes (western spadefoot toad)
Lineage: Eukaryota; Metazoa; Chordata; Amphibia; Anura; Pelobatidae
Source: the annotation of a GenBank genome assembly
UCCUGUAAAGAUGACUGCAAGAGCACAGCGCAGACUGCUCAGUGAGGUGAAGAAGAAUCCUAGAGUGUCAGCUAAAGACUUACAAAAGUCACUGGCAAAUGCUAACAUCCCUGUUAGCGAAUCUACAAUACGUAAAACACUAAACAAGAAUGGAUUCCAUGGGAGGAUACCACAGAGGAAGCCACUGCUGUCCAAACAAAACAUUGCUACACGUUUACAGUUUGCACAAGAG